RNAcentral lists this ribosomal RNA (381 nucleotides) under uncultured eukaryote. RNAcentral describes it as "SSU rRNA". It matches the Rfam family "Eukaryotic small subunit ribosomal RNA", at positions 587 to 972 of the family's 1831-position model. The record is from RNAcentral.
AGCUCCAAUAGCGUAUGUUAAAGUUGUUGCGGCUAAAAAGCUCGUAGUUGGAUUUCUGUUGAGGACAUCUGGUCCGCUCUAUGAGCGUGCAUCUAGUUUGGCCUCGGCAUCCGUUCUGCAGACGUUUCUGCGCUUGAUUGCGUGGAGCGGAGGUAGGACCUUUUACUUUGAGGAAAUUAGAGUGUUCACGGCAGGCAUUCGCCCUGAAUAUAUUAGCAUGGAAUAAUAACAUAGGGUCUUGGCUCUAUUUUGUUGGUUUCUAGGGCUAAGAUAAUGAUUAAUAGGGACAAUUGGGGGCAUUCGUAUUGCGGUGUCAGAGGUGGAAUUCUUGGAUUACUGCACGACGAACUACUGCGAAAGCAUUUGCCAAGGAUGUUUUCA